CCUGUUAUAUGGGGCAGAAGGUGCCCGUUAUAUGAAAAGUUGACUCCACUGGACCCCAGCCAGGUUCAGAGACCCGACGAAGGACCAAGGCGCACUAAACUUAGGUGGCUCAUGAUCAAAUUCUUACGAGCUCACAGGGUUCGGAGUUUGUGAGUGACCGUUAGCAGAGCGAUCGAAGUGAAAAUUCGACGUCGAUCGGUAGAAUCAUAUAGUCGAGGUUGACCUUUGCGCAUUCGAGUUAAGAUCGAUCGAACCGGAUAACAAAAACAAACAUGAGUAAGCAAGAGAAGAAAUCUCUUAUGAGUAAGUAAGAAUCAGACUUCUUUACCUUGUACCAGAGAAACGUCCCUGAAUUGGUCGAGCUCAUAGAAGGCGCGCUGGGAGGCCGCUACCGUGUCUACCAACUUAACUGCUCGGCAACGGAACGAAACCGCCUUCCUCACCAUUGAUACCACACGGGCCACGAGGACCGCGACCGAUAGUUCUUCUAGUUGACCUUUCCGUUCCACCUUCUCGGUCAACAAGGUUACCGAUGCGAGGAGUAACGGUCACACUGAGAGUAGUGGCCCUAGAAGGGCAACGAACGUACAACACAGAGUUUCAAAAAGGGCUUAUACAGAUUUUCUGCGUGGGCACACUGGUCGUCACACCGACGUAUGAACAGGAGAUAAACGGAGUAGGAUGAGCGGACGAAAUAGAGCCCUUCUUAGAAUGGAGACUUUAUACACCAGCGGUAGCCGCCCCGGCAGUAAGAUCAACGGUAGCCCCAAGAGAAUUAGGACGCGAGGACACGGUUACGUAGCGUCGGCUUGUGCUAAUGAGGUUCAGGGUGCCCCCUUCGUCUCCUUUAUUUGUUCCUCGACCCGUGGUUCCUUCGUCUCUCUUAUUUGUUCCUUCGUCUCUCUUAUUUUUUCCUCCGUCUACUCUCUUCUUUCCUCUAGGUGCUAUAUGACCUGUUCUGUGUGCUCAAGUACAGGCCACAGUGGCCUUAAGACAAGGACCCGAACCUUCCAAACCGUGACCUUCCAGAGUAGUCGUGUACGGUACCCUAUGGGCUACGACAGGCCUCUGGUCAGUACAAGUCGAAGUAGAAGACGCGGUAGCCACACAGGGAUUACAAGGAGUGGUACUAGAUAGGAGAAUGCCAGUGUUGUCUUUUCCGUUCGUAACAUGCAUACUGGAAGCCGAAACUGGAAGAGUACUGACCACCAUGGCAACGUUAUGACUGGUAGUAAUACCUCUUUGAGUACCCUGUAUUUCCCGAAGACGAGAAUUCGAGGGGUCGGGAUUAGAAUAAAGUGCACCACAUGGCUGAGCACUAGUUUGGCUCUCAGCGUGACCCAUUUGUUGUUAGUGUUUGCUGAGAGGGUUAGAGGCUGCCUAGGUGCGGAAGAAGAGACCCUAGGGGGGAGGGGGGGUGGCCGCUGUUCGUUGUUCUCCGAUUUCGCCGCGGCGAACCUGACUGGUUCCAAUGCAAACGGCCCAAGACCCGGUACAGCCACUGUUGGUAGUCGUGACCAAGGGUGUUGGUGACCAAGGACUAUAAACGUCGCUGUCGAUAACGAAGACCAGAGAAAACCUCCGAGGAGUGCGUGUCGUUUUUAUUCCUGUGCCACCUUUGACGGUUACAACGAAGGAAGAAGUGAGUAAAUACGUAACGUCAACGAUGCCAGGAUAAGUGCCAUUACCGUACCCUCCGGCGGUUAUUUAACGUUCACUUGUGCACACGUUCGGCCGUCACUUGCUCUAAGUUCACAGUGGGAGGAUGACGUACAGUGUUUUUAAGUGCAAGUCGUAUACACCACAAUUGCGGCCUCAUAGCAUGAAUAACAUAUAGUCCACAAAUACCUAUUAUUAUUUUUCUCUUAUAAGGUCUUUUAACUGCAAAGGUGAGUUG
RNAcentral lists this ribosomal RNA (1897 nucleotides) under Triticum aestivum (bread wheat). RNAcentral describes it as "partial small subunit ribosomal RNA". Lineage: Eukaryota; Viridiplantae; Streptophyta; Magnoliopsida; Poales; Poaceae. The record is from RNAcentral.